This 496-nucleotide ribosomal RNA is filed under the name uncultured bacterium. Its description in RNAcentral is "partial 16S ribosomal RNA". It matches the Rfam family "Bacterial small subunit ribosomal RNA", at positions 29 to 507 of the family's 1533-position model. The record is from RNAcentral.
AUGCACGCUGGCGGCGUGCCUCAUACAUGCCCGUCGAGCGAACGGACGAGAAGCUUGCUUCUCUGAUGUUAGCGGCGGACGGGUGAGUAACACGUGGAUAACCUACCUAUAAGACUGGGAUAACUUCGGGAAACCGGAGCUAAUACCGGAUAAUAUUUUGAACCGCAUGGUUCAAAAGUGAAAGACGGUCUUGCUGUCACUUAUAGAUGGAUCCGCGCUGCAUUAGCUAGUUGGUAAGGUAACGGCUUACCAAGGCAACGAUGCAUAGCCGACCUGAGAGGGUGAUCGGCCACACUGGAACUGAGGCACGGUCCAGACUCCUACGGGGGGCAGCAGUAGGGAAUCUUCCGCAAUGGGCGAAAGCCUGACGGAGCAACGCCGCGUGAGUGAUGAAGGUCUUCGGAUCGUAAAACUCUGUUAUUAGGGAAGAACAUAUGUGUAAGUAACUGUGCACAUCUUGACGGUACCUAAUCAGAAAGCCACGGCUAACUACGUG